Long non-coding RNA from Salvelinus namaycush (lake trout), 690 nucleotides. RefSeq lists it as uncharacterized. The record is from RefSeq and is a predicted model, not a curated record. The transcript has 2 exons. Lineage: Eukaryota; Metazoa; Chordata; Actinopteri; Salmoniformes; Salmonidae.
UCGAAGGUUGCGGUCAGAUUCAUGCACAACACAUGCAGUCGUAAUCGUCAUACCUCAGUGGUCGUAACUGUGAUCGGGAUUACAUUUUUAACUGAUGUACGUUUUAAUAAUAAGCGAUCGUAGUGAUUUGUCAAAUUAGCUGCUUGGUAGUUAUCAUCACAUCAAGCCAAGCACAGCUAACGAGCUAGUUAGCAUAAAUCCAUAGAUUUUUUUUGACAAUGUCAACACCAGAGCCAUUGCCCGUACCACGGGGCUCAGUAUCACCGGCAGCGGGUCAAAUGUUUGGGAGCUGCUGGAGUUGUCGGAUUCUUUCAGGUGGAGGUCUGCUGUUAGGAGCUGGAUAUGUCUUCCUAGCCGCCCGAAAAGUAAUGCGCCAAGGUGGGACAACCUCUAUGGGAACUGUCGCACAAGUCGCGUUUGCAGCAAGUUUGGCUGCUUGGGGAGUCGUGGUCAUCGCUGACCCUGUGGGGAAAUCACACAGGAAGGCGUGAAGAUGCUCUGACAGAUGGAAUUAUUUGAAGCUGCUGAAGUAUAUGCCAUGGUCAUAUCCAAGAUCACUUUGGUAGAUAGUGAUCUUGGCAUAAUGGAUGAGAACAUGCCAAAGACUAUUAUCAUCUGUCAGUGUGACUUGUCUAUAAUACAUGAAAUAAAUUGAGAACAUGUGCACUUGGAACUACCUUGUGCAAGUAA